UAAGACAGAGGGUGCAAACGUUGCUCGGAAUUACUGGGCGUAAAGCGCGUGUAGGCGGAUUGGUAAGUCAGAUGUGAAAGCCCUGGGCUCAACCUAGGAACUGCAUUUGAAACUGCCAGUCUUGAGUAGUGGAGAGGGAAGCGGAAUUCCUGGUGUAGAGGUGAAAUUCGUAGAUAUCAGGAGGAACACCGGUGGCGAAGGCGGCUUCCUGGACACUUACUGACGCUGAGACGCGAAAGCGUGGGGAGCAAACAGGAUUAGAUACCCUGGUAGUCCACGCCGUAAACGAUGAGUGCUAGAUGUCGCGGGUAUUGACCCCUGCGGCGUCGUAGCUAACGCGUUAAGCACUCCGCCUGGGGAGUACGGCCGCAAGGCUA
RNAcentral lists this ribosomal RNA (377 nucleotides) under uncultured delta proteobacterium. RNAcentral's name for it is "bacterial SSU rRNA". It matches the Rfam family "Bacterial small subunit ribosomal RNA", at positions 521 to 896 of the family's 1533-position model. The record is from RNAcentral. Lineage: Bacteria; Deltaproteobacteria.